This is a long non-coding RNA of Macrobrachium nipponense, 803 nucleotides long. RefSeq lists it as uncharacterized. NCBI's taxonomy places the organism in Eukaryota, Metazoa, Arthropoda, Malacostraca, Decapoda, Palaemonidae. The record is from RefSeq and is a predicted model, not a curated record. The transcript has 4 exons.
ACACAGAAUUUUGCUUCCCCCUUACAGCUCAGAGUGUCCAGUAAAUCAAAAAGAAGAAGAAGAAGAAGAAGAAGAAGAAGAAUAAGAAGAAGAGAAAAAACAGGAAGAAGCAGAGGAAGAAGAAGAAGAAGAAGAAGAAGAAGAAGAAGAAUCCCAAGAUGAAAACCCAGGCCCUUCUCCUGCUCGUCCUGCUGACGACUUUGGUAGCAGCCGGUCCCCUCCCUAGGAGGUACCUCUUCAGAGUUAGAUUGCCUCAUUCCUCCAGCUCACAGGAUAUAUGGGACGCUUAUAAGAACUUCAACUACUGGCAUAACUUCGACCAAUACGGAUUUUCGAGAACCGGACGUGAUGUUAGCCACGUUGCGGCAAAAUCCAGCUGAUUGAGCGAUAAAAUUGCUCUGACAGGUCGUGGAACUGGCCUUAAAGAAAGACAACAACAGUUUGACUGUAAGUAUUUAUUCUCCCACCUGAGUCCAGAAAAAAAUUUGGAAAAAAAAAGGAGGUUGCUCGCCGAGUGGUCUGCUUGUCUACUGUUCCGUAAGGAGCUUCUAACGCGAAACAAUAUUUGUUAAAAGAAAAAAAUAGUAGCAGUAUUAUUGUAUGAAUUAACAGGCCGGUACUAACUUCGCCAGCAAAAGAGUGAUUGUUGUUCAGUGUAACGUGAGUUAGAAAUAGCAUUAACAUUGCAUAUUAUUAACACGGGAUAAAAGGCCGCUGAUGAUUGUAGUGUUAUUUUGUGGUAUACGUUGAUGUUAGAAAACUUUUGUUUUAGCUACAAUAAAGUUUUAUAUCCUAUAGCAAAA